RNAcentral lists this ribosomal RNA (293 nucleotides) under uncultured bacterium. RNAcentral's name for it is "partial 16S ribosomal RNA". It matches the Rfam family "Bacterial small subunit ribosomal RNA", at positions 775 to 1067 of the family's 1533-position model. The record is from RNAcentral.
GGAUUAGAUACCCUGGUAGUCCACGCCGUAAACGAUGUCGACUAGCCGUUGGGCCCCUUGAGGGUUUAGUGGCGCAGCUAACGCAUUAAGUCGAUCGCCUGGGGAGUACGGCCGCAAGGUUAAAACUCAAAUGAAUUGACGGGGGCCCGCACAAGCGGUGGAGCAUGUGGUUUAAUUCGACGCAACGCGAAGAACCUUACCUACUCUUGACAUCCUGCGAACUUUCUAGAGAUAGAUUGGUGCCUUCGGGAACGCAGUGACAGGUGCUGCAUGGCUGUCGUCAGCUCGUGCCG